GCGGCCUAAAGCUAACGUACCACAGCUGCUCAACGACCAAUAUGGCCGAUCACCUAAAAGCGGUGCAUCCCCAGGCCAUGCCACAUGCGUCAGGAAGCACCUGGAGCACCACGCAACUGGUGUUGGUCCAUCUUUUGUCGGCGAAGAGAAAGGAGGACAUCACUAAGAGGAUUGUGCAUUUCAUCGCCCAAGAUAUGAGUCAUCGCUGGGCUGGUGCGAGCGGAUGGAUGGAUGAUGGCAGCUCCGUGAAGAUGGACGAGUGGCUUCGAUACCUGCCACAUUACUCUUACUCAGAUCAGUGAGCAGAAAUUACAGGUGGAAUCUAAAGGUUGUCUGCACUCCAGGGUUUAUUGUCUUCUGUAUAAGCUGCAUUUGACUUGCUCUCAAUGCUCA
Molecule: long non-coding RNA, 393 nt
Organism: Pimephales promelas (fathead minnow)
Lineage: Eukaryota; Metazoa; Chordata; Actinopteri; Cypriniformes; Leuciscidae
Source: RefSeq, a predicted model, not a curated record